AAGAAGCAAUACCGUGAGGUGGAGCAAAACUCAAAAAAUGAUCUCAGUUCGGACUGUAGGCUGCAACUCGCCUACACGAAGUUGGAAUUGCUAGUAAUCGUGGAUCAGCAUGCCACGGUGAAUACGUUCCCGGGUCUUGUACACACCGCCCGUCACACCAUGGGAGCUGGUAACACCCGAAGUCAGUAGUCUAACCGCAAGGAGGACGCUGCCGAAGGUGGGAUUAGCGACUGGGGUGAAGUCGUAACAAGGUAGC
Molecule: ribosomal RNA, 256 nt
Filed under: uncultured bacterium
Lineage: Bacteria
Description: partial 16S ribosomal RNA
Rfam family: Bacterial small subunit ribosomal RNA
Source: RNAcentral